This 440-nucleotide ribosomal RNA is filed under the name uncultured bacterium. RNAcentral's name for it is "partial 16S ribosomal RNA". It matches the Rfam family "Bacterial small subunit ribosomal RNA", at positions 339 to 795 of the family's 1533-position model. The record is from RNAcentral.
CUACGGGGGGCUGCAGUGAGGAAUAUUGCACAAUGGGGGGAACCCUGAUGCAGCAACGCCGCGUGGAGGAUGACGCAUUUCGGUGUGUAAACUCCUUUUAUAUGUCAAGAAAAUGACGGUAGCAUAUGAAUAAGCACCGGCUAACUCCGUGCCAGCAGCCGCGGUAAUACGGAGGGGUGCAAGCGUUACUCGGAAUCACUGGGCGUAAGGGACGCGUAGGCGGGUUGGAAAGUCGGGUGUGAAAUCCUACAGCUUAACUGUAGAACUGCACUUGAAACUUCUAAUCUAGAGUAUGGGAGGGGGAGAUGGAAUUAGUGGUGUAGGGGUAAAAUCCGUAGAUAUCACUAGGAAUACCUAAAGCGAAGGCGAUCUCCUGGAACAUUACUGACGCUAAGGCGUGAAAGCGUGGGGAGCAAACAGGAUUAGAUACCCCGGUAGUC